Molecule: non-coding RNA, 27 nt
Filed under: Cricetulus griseus (Chinese hamster)
Lineage: Eukaryota; Metazoa; Chordata; Mammalia; Rodentia; Cricetidae
Source: RNAcentral
ACGGCGCUGUGAAGCCUCCAGCUAAAG